RNAcentral lists this ribosomal RNA (439 nucleotides) under uncultured bacterium. RNAcentral's name for it is "partial 16S ribosomal RNA". It matches the Rfam family "Bacterial small subunit ribosomal RNA", at positions 339 to 795 of the family's 1533-position model. The record is from RNAcentral.
CUACGGGACGCAGCAGUGGGGAAUAUCGCACAAUGGGGGAAACCCUGAUGCAGCAACGCCGCGUGGAGGAUGACGCAUUUCGGUGUGUAAACUCCUUUUAUAUCCCAAGAUAAUGACGGUAGGAUAUGAAUAAGCACCGGCUAACUCCGUGCCAGCAGCCGCAGUAAUACGGAGGGUGCAAGCGUUACUCGGAAUCACUGGGCGUAAAGGGCGCGUAGGCGGGUUGUCAAGUCUUGAGUGAAAUCCAACGGCUCAACCGUUGAACUGCUUGAGAAACUGGCAGCCUAGAGUGAGGGAGAGGUAGAUGGAAUUGGUGGUGUAGGGGUAAAAUCCGUAGAGAUCACCAGGAAUACCCAUUGCGAAGGCGAUCUGCUGGAACUCUACUGACGCUGAGGCGCGAAAGCGUGGGGAGCAAACAGGAUUAGAUACCCCCGUAGUC